UCAGGUCAUGUUUUCCAGCCCUCCAACCCUUCGUGUUGCUGCUUAUCCUGUCAGAGGAGCAGCACCCAAAGCUGGAUGUGCCUCUGCACUGAGGUGUCACUGAGAACACCAAAAGGACCUGCAAGAUGUCUUGUAGUGAACCAUUGGAAACUGCUUUCAGACUGCAGAUUCCAACCAGAUUUGUGUCAUGACUUCAGCCAGGGCAUUCUUCACCCACGUGGGACAAUGUCAGGAGCCUCAGUGACAUCGAGGCAGGGUCGGGAAUGUUCUUGGUGAUAAGCAGACACAUGAGAAUGCUCUGAGGAGAGGGGUGCAAGGCAGUGCAGAUUUACAACACUGAGACCCUUCAGAGCAGCACUAAUGCCCAGUGGAGUUCUCCAGCCUAAAUGUCUCGUUGUCAGUGGAAGAAACAAAGGUAAUGUAAUUUGAACGCUGGAUGCAACAGCGUAGGCUGCUCUCCAGGCUGAUUCUCCCUGCUCCAAAUGGGAAUGAUGGCUCCAAACAGACUCACCAGCACAGACUGAAGAGCAGACAUCUGAUUUGGGAGGAAAUGGCCAAUGUCUCAGCUUUUUUCCCCAUGAUUUGUUUCUUCCUGGAAAGGA
Long non-coding RNA from Lepidothrix coronata (blue-crowned manakin), 602 nucleotides. RefSeq lists it as uncharacterized. The transcript has 4 exons. Lineage: Eukaryota; Metazoa; Chordata; Aves; Passeriformes; Pipridae. The record is from RefSeq and is a predicted model, not a curated record.